GGUUCUAUGGUCUAGCGGUUAUGACACUGGACUCUGAAUCCAGUAGCCCGAGUUCAAUUCUCGGUAGAACCU
This is a transfer RNA of Marchantia polymorpha subsp. polymorpha, 72 nucleotides long. It matches the Rfam family "tRNA". Rfam says of the family: Transfer RNA (tRNA) molecules are approximately 80 nucleotides in length. Their secondary structure includes four short double-helical elements and three loops (D, anti-codon, and T loops). The record is from Rfam. NCBI's taxonomy places the organism in Eukaryota, Viridiplantae, Streptophyta, Marchantiopsida, Marchantiales, Marchantiaceae.